This 69-nucleotide transfer RNA is filed under the name Ictidomys tridecemlineatus (thirteen-lined ground squirrel). Its description in RNAcentral is "Spermophilus tridecemlineatus (thirteen-lined ground squirrel) tRNA". It matches the Rfam family "tRNA". Rfam says of the family: Transfer RNA (tRNA) molecules are approximately 80 nucleotides in length. Their secondary structure includes four short double-helical elements and three loops (D, anti-codon, and T loops). Lineage: Eukaryota; Metazoa; Chordata; Mammalia; Rodentia; Sciuridae. The record is from Rfam by way of RNAcentral.
GGGGAUGUGGCUCAGCAGUAGAGUGCUCGUCUCCCAUGCGUGGGACCCUGGGUUCAAUCCUCAGCACCA